CGAACAAUAUGUUUGGACGGCAGCGCAAAAUAAACCACUUUAAAUAAUACCGACGACGUACAAAGUGUUGAAUGACUGCUUCGCUGUAUCAACUUGGAUAUUUAAUUUACUUUACAUUGGAUAUACGAAAUUAACACGGUCAAGAGGUAACGAAGUAUUGUGAUGCAAACGAGCAGCUAGGCAUAUUAGCACGAGGAGUAGACAAAGUCGACUCAUUGUUUGAAUGACUGCUUUGGUGGAGCAAAGUAGAUACGUUUUUCUUUGGACUUCGGUGAAUAUUCUUUUUGUUUAUCAGCAGAAAAAAAAUCUUACUGUUUCCUAAUGCAUAUUAAUUAACAUUAUUAAAAACAUGUCUCAAAAUUAUUUCACAACCCCAGUCUACACCUGUGAGUUUUGUUAUAAGACUUAUGGAUCAAAACGGUAAUUACUCGGACAUCAAUCCAAUUGUGGACCUUUAGAAUAGAGUUUUUCAUGUGAUCAAUGUCUAAAAACCUUUAAACGUCAGGAUUGUUUAAAGUUACACAUGGAAACAUAUCAUCUAAACGAUAGAGAUAGUUUGACGUGUCAGACAUGUAGUCUGGUUCUACCAUCCUUUGACCAGUACAGAAAACAUAUUUCUACUUGUCAAGCCUCUGAUAUUCAAUCUUCCACCUCUUCCCAUCAGUCUCAAUUUUUCACAUGUGCAUGUGAAAAAAACAAAAACAAUUUCCAUCUGUCAAAGUACUCACGACACACACAAAACAUAAGCAUC
Long non-coding RNA from Gigantopelta aegis, 751 nucleotides. RefSeq lists it as uncharacterized. The transcript has 3 exons. Lineage: Eukaryota; Metazoa; Mollusca; Gastropoda; Neomphalida; Peltospiridae. The record is from RefSeq and is a predicted model, not a curated record.